GCAAGUUAAUUUUAAUAUUCUAUUCGAUUG
Molecule: non-coding RNA, 30 nt
Filed under: Cricetulus griseus (Chinese hamster)
Lineage: Eukaryota; Metazoa; Chordata; Mammalia; Rodentia; Cricetidae
Source: RNAcentral